RNAcentral lists this ribosomal RNA (344 nucleotides) under uncultured bacterium. RNAcentral's name for it is "partial 16S ribosomal RNA". It matches the Rfam family "Bacterial small subunit ribosomal RNA", at positions 338 to 679 of the family's 1533-position model. The record is from RNAcentral.
CCUACGGGGGACAGCAGUGAGGAAUAUUGGUCAAUGGACGAGAGUCUGAACCAGCCAAGUAGCGUGAAGGAUGACGGCCCUAUGGGUUGUAAACUUCAUUUAUAGGGGAAUAAAAUGUGCCACGUGGGGGAUUUUGUAUGUACCAUAUGAAAAAGGAUCGGCUAACUCCGUGCCAGCAGCCGCGGUAAUACGGAGGAUCCGAGCGUUAUCCGGAUUUAUGGGGGUUAAAGGGGGCGUAGGUGGCUUGUUAAGUCAGUUGUGCAAGUUUGCGGCUCAACCGUAAAAUUGCAGUUGCAACGGGCAGUCUUGAGUCCAGUAGAGGUGGGCGUCAUUCGUGUUGUAGC